Molecule: ribosomal RNA, 420 nt
Filed under: bacterium
Lineage: Bacteria
Description: partial 16S ribosomal RNA
Rfam family: Bacterial small subunit ribosomal RNA
Source: RNAcentral
UGGGGGAUAUUGCACAAUGGGCGAAAGCCUGAUGCAGCGACGCCGCGUGGGGGAUGAAGGCCUUCGGGUUGUAAACCUCUUUCGCUAUCGAACAAGGCCCGCUCAGGGUGGGCUGAGGGUAGGUGGAGAAGAAGCGCCGGCUACCUACGUGCCAGCAGCCGCGGUAAUACGUAGGGCGCGAGCGUUGUCCGGAAUUAUUGGGCGUAAAGGGCUUGUAGGCGGCUUGUUGCGCCUGCUGUGAAAACGCGGGGCUUAACUUCGCGCGUGCAGUGGGUACGGGCAGGCUUGAGUGUGGUAGGGGUGACUGGAAUUCCAGGUGUAGCGGUGGAAUGCGCAGAUAUCUGGAGGAACACCGAUGGCGAAGGCAGGUCACUGGGCCAUUACUGACGCUGAGGAGCGAAAGCAUGGGUAGCGAACAGG